UACGUAGGGUGCAAGCGUUGUCCGGAAUUAUUGGGCGUAAAGAGCUCGUAGGCGGUCUGUCGCGUCGGCUGUGAAAACCCGGGGCUCAACCCCGGGCCUGCAGUCGAUACGGGCAUCACUUGAGUUCGGCAGGGGAGACUGGAAUUCCUGGUGUAGCGGUGAAAUGCGCAGAUAUCAGGAGGAACACCGGUGGCGAAGGCGGUUCUCUGGGCCUUACCUGACGCUGAGGAGCGAAAGCUAGGGGAGCGAACGGG
RNAcentral lists this ribosomal RNA (254 nucleotides) under uncultured bacterium. RNAcentral's name for it is "partial 16S ribosomal RNA". It matches the Rfam family "Bacterial small subunit ribosomal RNA", at positions 524 to 776 of the family's 1533-position model. The record is from RNAcentral.